CAAAAACGGAAAGACGACGAAUAAACAAGGAGAAAUGGAAGUUUUGUAUUCCAGCAGAAUGGAAAGGGAGAAAGAUGGUGAGAAAAGGAGGAAGUGGAGAGAAUGAAGCAGCUGCGCCGGAGAACAAACGACAAAAGAAGAACAAGAAGGAGAAUAAGAAGAAGAGGAGGAAGUACCGGUGGGCCUGAGAACCGGCUCUCUCUCUCACACACACACACACACACACGCACACGUACACUCGGGAAAUCGUGAGGAAGCAUGGCAGUGGGCGCGUUAGCGUGCAUGUGCACGCGUGCCUGUGAACGCCAUCAGAAGUACUGACCUCCAUUUACAGAUUAAAUUCGAAUAUCUGUUCAAUGUAAUUAUUCUCUUCAUUCUGUAGUGUGCCUCUUGUCUGCACUGCUUGAAGUACAUAUAAGUGAAUGUUAGAUUUUUUUGGGGGGGGGGUUGUUUUUAUCCAAUCACAUUUCAGCCUCUCUUUGUUGCCAUGUCAACUUUAUCCGCCUUCAGAAUCAGCAGUGCAGGCCCAAUGGAAUUUAGUCUUGGCUAUUUGAAUGUUUCUUUUUUGGCCCUCAUGUCCUGAUGUCAGCAUUUUCUGAUUGGUCAGUCUGAGCGAAAACUGCUUGACGAGCAAAACACAUUGGUAGCAAUUUGCACACAUGAAUGUAUUUACUAAUUUGCAUCUUUGGUGACUAUGAUGUAUCUAAGGAUUUUUAAAAAAACAUACAGUAUUUUUGUCAUUUUAUUAGAUAAACUUUGAUUGUGAACGUCAUGAUUGCACCCAAAAAGAUUUCGAGGGCAGCCAUGUUUUAAACACACAUGGUUCGAUUCUCUUAGUUUAACUUUUCAGUAUACUUCAACUUUAGUUUGAUGUUUAGUUUGACAAUGAACUUCAACUGACACUGGCGUUAAACAUUUGGAAGCCUCUUUUUGUUCCCUUCCCCCACCCCGUAUUGUUACGUAUUUGCCAAACUGCUGCUUAUUGUGAAGUGAGUUGAGAUCAUGGCACCCGUACAAGUGCUUGUACGUCAAGUAUGUACUCGCAAGUCAAAGCAAAAAAAUCCUGUCAUCGUAAACACUUAUGGUGCUUCACUCAUAUCUCAAUGCACCGUAGCAUAAUUUGAUCAAGAUUUCAUGAAGACUCAGUAAAAGUGUGUGGAAACAGACAGACAGCCCCACCAUCUGUAUUUCCGUGUGUGUGUGUGUGUGUGUGUGUGUCAGGGCUCUGAGAAUAACUCUGGAACAGGAAGUCUAAAUCCAGCCCAGACCAGGAAGAAAAGUGUGUGAGAGGAACAAACAAAUCAGGAAAUCCUCCGUCCAACCCCCCUUUACAUAUCACACAGUUUCUCACACACACACACACACACAAAUACACACGGCCGAGCGCUCACACACUCCCAAGAACCCUAAAACAGACAAACAAUACACAAACAUAUUAACAAAUGUACAUCACACACACAGAUUUGAAAAAAAGAAAACGCGCACAAACACAAAAA
Hippocampus zosterae (dwarf seahorse) is the source of this 1496-nucleotide long non-coding RNA. RefSeq lists it as uncharacterized. The record is from RefSeq and is a predicted model, not a curated record. The transcript has 2 exons. NCBI's taxonomy places the organism in Eukaryota, Metazoa, Chordata, Actinopteri, Syngnathiformes, Syngnathidae.